RNAcentral lists this ribosomal RNA (252 nucleotides) under uncultured bacterium. RNAcentral describes it as "partial 16S ribosomal RNA". It matches the Rfam family "Bacterial small subunit ribosomal RNA", at positions 524 to 775 of the family's 1533-position model. The record is from RNAcentral.
UACGUAGGGUGCAAGCGUUAAUCGGAAUUACUGGGCGUAAAGCGUGCGCAGGCGGUUUUUUAAGACAGAUGUGAAAUGCCCGGGCUCAACCUGGGAACUGCAUUUGUGACUGGAAGGCUAGAGUGUGUCAGAGGGGGGUAGAAUUCCACGUGUAGCAGUGAAAUGCGUAGAGAUGUGGAGGAAUACCGAUGGCGAAGGCAGCCCCCUGGGAUAACACUGACGCUGAGGAGCGAAAGCGUGGGGAGCAAACAG